UACGUAGGGGGCUAGCGUUGUCCGGAUUUAUUGGGCGUAAAGCGCGUGUAGGCGGCCGGAUAAGUCGAAUGUGAAAGCCCCCGGCUCAACUGGGGAGGGUCAUUCGAUACUGUUCGACUCGAAGGCAGGAGAGGGAAGUGGAAUUCCCGGUGUAGUGGUGAAAUGCGUAGAUAUCGGGAGGAACACCAGUGGCGAAGGCGACUUCCUGGCCUGUUCUUGACGCUGAGGCGCGAAAGCUAGGGGAGCAAACGGG
RNAcentral lists this ribosomal RNA (253 nucleotides) under uncultured bacterium. Its description in RNAcentral is "partial 16S ribosomal RNA". It matches the Rfam family "Bacterial small subunit ribosomal RNA", at positions 524 to 776 of the family's 1533-position model. The record is from RNAcentral.